This 253-nucleotide ribosomal RNA is filed under the name uncultured bacterium. RNAcentral describes it as "partial 16S ribosomal RNA". It matches the Rfam family "Bacterial small subunit ribosomal RNA", at positions 524 to 776 of the family's 1533-position model. The record is from RNAcentral.
UACGGAGGAUCCGAGCGUUAUCCGGAUUUAUUGGGUUUAAAGGGUGCGUAGGCGGCUCAUUAAGUCAGGGGUGAAAUACGGCAGCUCAACUGUCGCAGUGCCUUUGAUACUGAUGAGCUUGAAUGCGGUUGAAGACGGCGGAAUGAGACAAGUAGCGGUGAAAUGCAUAGAUAUGUCUCAGAACACCGAUUGCGAAGGCAGCUGUCUAAGCCGUUAUUGACGCUGAUGCACGAAAGCGUGGGGAUCGAACAGG